This 59-nucleotide microRNA precursor is filed under the name Lepisosteus oculatus (spotted gar). Its description in RNAcentral is "Loc-Mir-23-P2_pre stem-loop". It matches the Rfam family "mir-23 microRNA precursor family", at positions 9 to 65 of the family's 73-position model. Lineage: Eukaryota; Metazoa; Chordata; Actinopteri; Semionotiformes; Lepisosteidae. The record is from RNAcentral.
GGGUUCCUGGCAUGCUGAUUUGUGACUUAAGAUAAAAUCACAUUGCCAGGGAUUACCAC